RNAcentral lists this ribosomal RNA (328 nucleotides) under uncultured eukaryote. RNAcentral's name for it is "partial 18S ribosomal RNA". It matches the Rfam family "Eukaryotic small subunit ribosomal RNA", at positions 1470 to 1796 of the family's 1831-position model. The record is from RNAcentral.
CCCUUAGAUGUUCUGGGCCGCACGCGUGCUACACUGAUGCAUUCAACGAGUCUAAAACCUGGUCUGAUAGGGCUGGGUAAUCUUUUGAAAGUGCAUCGUGAUUGGGAUAGAUGAUUGCAAUUCUUCAUCUUCAACGAGGAAUGCCUAGUAAACGCAAGUCAUCAGCUUGCAUUGAUUACGUCCCUGCCCUUUGUACACACCGCCCGUCGCUACUACUGAUUGGAUGUUUAAGCGAGGUUCUCGAACUGCUAGUGACUGAUCUUCGGUGAGGUCGCAGUGUGGGAAGUGAACCUAGCUUUGGUGUCUAGAGGAAGUAAAAGUCGUAACA